ACGAGUGGCGGACGGGUGAGUAAUGUCUGGGAAACUGCCUGGUGGAGGGGGAUAACUACUGGAAACGGUAGCUAAUACCGCAUAACGUCGCAAGACCAAAGAGGGGGACCUUCGGGCCUCUUGCCAUCGGAUGUGCCCAGAUGGGAUUAGCUAGUAGGUGGGGUAACGGCUCACCUAGGCGACGAUCCCUAGCUGGUCUGAGAGGAUGACCAGCCACACCGGAACUGAGACACGGUCCAG
Molecule: ribosomal RNA, 240 nt
Filed under: uncultured bacterium
Lineage: Bacteria
Description: partial 16S ribosomal RNA
Rfam family: Bacterial small subunit ribosomal RNA
Source: RNAcentral